This 399-nucleotide ribosomal RNA is filed under the name uncultured eukaryote. Its description in RNAcentral is "SSU rRNA". It matches the Rfam family "Eukaryotic small subunit ribosomal RNA", at positions 592 to 998 of the family's 1831-position model. The record is from RNAcentral.
CAAUAGCGUAUAUUAAAGUUGUUGCAGUUAAAAAGCUCGUAGUUGGAUUUCUGGGAGGGUGCCAAUGUCCGUCGUCGUACGUGUUGCAGCGGCGCCCUUCCAUCCUUCUGUUAACGACUUUGGGCAUUCAUUUGCCGGAGUCGGGCUCAGAUAUUUUUACCUUGAGAAAAUUAGAGUGUUUCAGGCAGGCUUGCGCCGGAAUACAUUAGCAUGGAAUAAUAGAAUAGGACUUUUGUCUCCUUUGUUGGUUUGAGGGACCGAAGUAAUGAUUAAUAGGGACAGUUGGGGGCAUUAGUAUUUAAUUGUCAGAGGUGAAAUUCUCGGAUUUGUUAAAGACUAACUUAUGCGAAAGCAUUUGCCAAGGAUGUUUUCAUUAAUCAAGAACGAAAGUUAGGGGAU